Molecule: ribosomal RNA, 277 nt
Filed under: Coriobacteriales bacterium
Lineage: Bacteria; Bacillati; Actinomycetota; Coriobacteriia; Coriobacteriales
Description: partial 23S ribosomal RNA
Rfam family: Bacterial large subunit ribosomal RNA
Source: RNAcentral
AUCCUCCGUGGGCGUAAGAGAAUUGAGAGGAUCUGUCCCUAGUACGAGAGGACCGGGAUGGACAAACCUCUGGUGUACCAGUUGUCGACCAACGGCACCGCUGGUUAGCUACGUUUGGAAUGGAUAACCGCUGAAAGCAUCUAAGCGGGAAGCCAACUUCAAGAUGAGUUCUCUUUUUGGUAAGACCCCUUGUAGACUACGAGGUUGAUAGGACGCAGGUGUAAGUGCAGCAAUGUAUUCAGCCGAGCGUUACUAAUCGGUCGAGCUCUUUUACACA